UGAACUGGUGCUGUUAAAUUCUCUAACCUGUCUCCAAGGACUAUUGUUGGAAGUGAUUAAAAUGAACGGAUUAAUCUCCUUGCCUGUGUGACAUGAAAACAUAUUACCUUGGAAUGGAUCGUGGGAUGCUAUUUAUGCGGACACUGUCAGCAGGUUGUUCAAAAAAUGUCAAAAAUAUCCCAUUCAAUGGAUGGGGAGCAAGAUGAUUUGUUGCGGAGAGAUGAUUCUGAAACCAAAAGCGCCAAAAGCUGCUCAAGACUGGGACCCUUACGAUGGUAGCCAAAGUGAUUCAGAAUGAAUUUGAUAAACUCUUUACGUCGGAUGCUGAAGACAAGAAUUUAUUGGUCUUUGGAACAUUUUGAUUGUGGUUAACAGUAUUCAAUAAAGUGUGUCGCAUU
Molecule: long non-coding RNA, 398 nt
Organism: Carcharodon carcharias (great white shark)
Lineage: Eukaryota; Metazoa; Chordata; Chondrichthyes; Lamniformes; Lamnidae
Exons: 2
Source: RefSeq, a predicted model, not a curated record